RNAcentral lists this ribosomal RNA (159 nucleotides) under uncultured bacterium. RNAcentral's name for it is "partial 16S ribosomal RNA". It matches the Rfam family "Bacterial small subunit ribosomal RNA", at positions 1340 to 1500 of the family's 1533-position model. The record is from RNAcentral.
AAUCGCGGAUCAGCAUGCCGCGGUGAAUACGUUCCCGGGCCUUGUACACACCGCCCGUCACACCAUGGAGCCGGUAAUACCCGAAGUCAGUGGUCCAACCACGUGAGGACGCUGCCGAAGGUAGGAUUGGCGACUGGGGUGAAGUCGUAACAAGGUACC